AAUGCACCAAUUUGUAAGUCGCUCUGGAUAAGAGCGUCUGCUAAAUGGCUAAAA
This is a non-coding RNA of Salmo salar (Atlantic salmon), 54 nucleotides long. NCBI's taxonomy places the organism in Eukaryota, Metazoa, Chordata, Actinopteri, Salmoniformes, Salmonidae. The record is from Rfam.